AUUGAACGCUGGCGGCGGGCCUAACACAUGCAAGUCGAGCGGCAGCACUUCGGGUGGCGAGCGGCGGACGGGUGAGUAACACGUAGGAAUCUACCUAGUAGUGGGGGAUAGCCCGGGGAAACUCGGAUUAAUACCGCAUACGCUCUACGGAGGAAAGGGGGCUUCGGCUCUCGCUAUUAGAUGAGCCUGCGUCGGAUUAGCUAGUUGGUGAGGUAAAGGCUCACCAAGGCGUCGAUCCGUAACUGGUCUGAGAGGAUGAUCAGUCACACUGGAACUGAGACACGGUCCAGACUCCUACGGGAGGCAGCAGUGGGGAAUAUUGGACAAUGGGGGAAACCCUGAUCCAGCCAUGCCGCGUGUGUGAAGAAGGCC
RNAcentral lists this ribosomal RNA (372 nucleotides) under uncultured bacterium. RNAcentral describes it as "bacterial SSU rRNA". It matches the Rfam family "Bacterial small subunit ribosomal RNA", at positions 30 to 416 of the family's 1533-position model. The record is from RNAcentral.